CCUACGGGGGGCAGCAGUGAGGAAUAUUGGUCAAUGGGCGCGAGCCUGAACCAGCCAAGUCGCGUGAGGGAAGACGGUCCUAUGGAUUGUAAACCUCUUUUGUCGGGGAGCAAAGGACGGCACGCGUGGAGGUCCGAGAGUACCCGAAGAAAAAGCAUCGGCUAACACCGUGCCAGCAGCCGCGGUAAUACGGAGGAUGCGAGGGUUAUCCGGUUUUAUUGGGUUAAAAGGGUGUGCAGGCGGAAGAUCAAGUCAGAGGUAAAAUUGAGAGGCUCAACCUCUUCGAGCCGUUGAAACUGGUGUGCUCGAGUGAGCGAGAGGUAUGCGGAAUGCGUGGUGUAGCGGUGAAAUGCAUAGAUAUCACGCAGAACUCCGAUUGCGAAGGCAGCAUACCGGCGCUCAACUGACGCUGAUGCACGAAAGUGUGGGUAUCGAACAGGAUUAGAUACCCGAGUAGUC
Molecule: ribosomal RNA, 459 nt
Filed under: uncultured bacterium
Lineage: Bacteria
Description: partial 16S ribosomal RNA
Rfam family: Bacterial small subunit ribosomal RNA
Source: RNAcentral